Molecule: ribosomal RNA, 375 nt
Filed under: uncultured bacterium
Lineage: Bacteria
Description: bacterial SSU rRNA
Rfam family: Bacterial small subunit ribosomal RNA
Source: RNAcentral
UAAUACGUAGGGUGCGAGCGUUAAUCGGAAUUACUGGGCGUAAAGCGUGCGCAGGCGGUUCUGCAAGUCAGAUGUGAAAUCCCCGGGCUUAACCUGGGAACUGCGUUUGAAACUACGGAGCUAGAGUGCGGCAGAGGGGGGUGGAAUUCCACGUGUAGCAGUGAAAUGCGUAGAUAUGUGGAGGAACACCGAUGGCGAAGGCAGCCCCCUGGGCCGACACUGACGCUCAGGCACGAAAGCGUGGGGAGCAAACAGGAUUAGAUACCCUGGUAGUCCACGCCCUAAACUAUGUCAACUAGUUGUCGGGAAAGCAAUUUCUUGGUAACGAAGCUAACGCGUGAAGUUGACCGCCUGGGGAGUACGGUCGCAAGAUUA